This 247-nucleotide ribosomal RNA is filed under the name uncultured bacterium. RNAcentral describes it as "partial 16S ribosomal RNA". It matches the Rfam family "Bacterial small subunit ribosomal RNA", at positions 523 to 769 of the family's 1533-position model. The record is from RNAcentral.
AUACGGAGGAUCCAAGCGUUAUCCGGAUUUAUUGGGUUUAAAGGGAGCGUAGGUUGACAUAUAAGUCGGCUGUGAAAGUUUACGGCUCAACCGUGAAAUUGCAGUUGAUACUGUAUGUCUUGAGUGUACAAGAGGUGGGCGGAAUUCGUGGUGUAGCGGUGAAAUGCUUAGAUAUCACGAGGAACUCCGAUUGCGCAGGCAGCUUACUAAACUACUACUGACGCUCAGGCACGAAGGCGUGGGGAUC